This 156-nucleotide ribosomal RNA is filed under the name Nicotiana attenuata. RNAcentral describes it as "rRNA 5_8S_rRNA". It matches the Rfam family "5.8S ribosomal RNA". From Rfam's summary of the family: 5.8S ribosomal RNA (5.8S rRNA) is a component of the large subunit of the eukaryotic ribosome. It is transcribed by RNA polymerase I as part of the 45S precursor that also contains 18S and 28S rRNA. Lineage: Eukaryota; Viridiplantae; Streptophyta; Magnoliopsida; Solanales; Solanaceae. The record is from RNAcentral.
GACUCUCGACAACGGAUAUCUCGGCUCUCGCAUCGAUGAAGAACGUAGCGAAAUGCGAUACUUGGUGUGAAUUGCAGAAUCCCAUGAACCAUCGAGUCUUUGAACGCAAGUUGCGCCCGAAGCCAUUAGGCCGAGGGCACGUCCGCCUGGGCGUCA